UACAGAGGGGGCAAGCGUUGUUCGGAAUUACUGGGCGUAAAGGGCGCGUAGGCGGCCUUCUAAGUCGAACGUGAAAUCCCCGGGCUCAACCCGGGAACUGCGUCCGAUACUGGAAGGCUUGAAUCCGGGAGAGGGAUGUGGAAUUCCAGGUGUAGCGGUGAAAUGCGUAGAUAUCUGGAGGAACACCGGUGGCGAAGGCGACAUCCUGGACCGGUAUUGACCCUGAGGCGCGAAAGCCAGGGGAGCAAACGGG
RNAcentral lists this ribosomal RNA (253 nucleotides) under uncultured bacterium. Its description in RNAcentral is "partial 16S ribosomal RNA". It matches the Rfam family "Bacterial small subunit ribosomal RNA", at positions 524 to 776 of the family's 1533-position model. The record is from RNAcentral.